Molecule: ribosomal RNA, 1433 nt
Filed under: uncultured Enterobacteriaceae bacterium
Lineage: Bacteria; Pseudomonadati; Pseudomonadota; Gammaproteobacteria; Enterobacterales; Enterobacteriaceae
Description: bacterial SSU rRNA
Rfam family: Bacterial small subunit ribosomal RNA
Source: RNAcentral
CCUGGCUCAGAUUGAACGCUGGCGGCAGGCCUAACACAUGCAAGUCGAACGGUAACAGGAAGAAGCUUGCUUCUUUGCUGACGAGUGGCGGACGGGUGAGUAAUGUCUGGGAAACUGCCUGAUGGAGGGGGAUAACUACUGGAAACGGUAGCUAAUACCGCAUAACGUCGCAAGACCAAAGAGGGGGACCUUCGGGCCUCUUGCCAUCGGAUGUGCCCAGAUGGGAUUAGCUAGUAGGUGGGGUAACGGCUCACCUAGGCGACGAUCCCUAGCUGGUCUGAGAGGAUGACCAGCCACACUGGAACUGAGACACGGUCCAGACUCCUACGGGAGGCAGCAGUGGGGAAUAUUGCACAAUGGGCGCAAGCCUGAUGCAGCCAUGCCGCGUGUAUGAAGAAGGCCUUCGGGUUGUAAAGUACUUUCAGCGGGGAGGAAGGGAGUAAAGUUAAUACCUUUGCUCAUUGACGUUACCCGCAGAAGAAGCACCGGCUAACUCCGUGCCAGCAGCCGCGGUAAUACGGAGGGUGCAAGCGUUAAUCGGAAUUACUGGGCGUAAAGCGCACGCAGGCGGUUUGUUAAGUCAGAUGUGAAAUCCCCGGGCUCAACCUGGGAACUGCAUCUGAUACUGGCAAGCUUGAGUCUCGUAGAGGGGGGUAGAAUUCCAGGUGUAGCGGUGAAAUGCGUAGAGAUCUGGAGGAAUACCGGUGGCGAAGGCGGCCCCCUGGACGAAGACUGAACGCUCAGGUGCGAAAGCGUGGGGAGCAAAACAGGAUUAAAUACCCUUGGUAGUCCACGCCGUAAACGAUGUCGACUUGGAGGUUGUGCCCUUGAGGCGUGGCUUCCGGAGCUAACGCGUUAAGUCGACCGCCUGGGGAGUACGGCCGCAAGGUUAAAACUCAAAUGAAUUGACGGGGGCCCGCACAAGCGGUGGAGCAUGUGGUUUAAUUCGAUGCAACGCGAAGAACCUUACCUGGUCUUGACAUCCACGGAAGUUUUCAGAGAUGAGAAUGUGCCUUCGGGAACCGUGAGACAGGUGCUGCAUGGCUGUCGUCAGCUCGUGUUGUGAAAUGUUGGGUUAAGUCCCGCAACGAGCGCAACCCUUAUCCUUUGUUGCCAGCGGUCCGGCCGGGAACUCAAAGGAGACUGCCAGUGAUAAACUGGAGGAAGGUGGGGAUGACAUCAAGUCAUCAUGGCCCUUACGACCAGGGCUACACACGUGCUACAAUGGCGCAUACAAAGAGAAGCGACCUCGCGAGAGCAAGCGGACCUCAUAAAGUGCGUCGUAGUCCGGAUUGGAGUCUGCAACUCGACUCCAUGAAGUCGGAAUCGCUAGUAAUCGUGGAUCAGAAUGCCACGGUGAAUACGUUCCCGGGCCUUGUACACACCGCCCGUCACACCAUGGGAGUGGGUUGCAAAAGAAGUAGGUAGCUUAA